This 235-nucleotide unclassified non-coding RNA is filed under the name Hevea brasiliensis (rubber tree). Lineage: Eukaryota; Viridiplantae; Streptophyta; Magnoliopsida; Malpighiales; Euphorbiaceae. The record is from RNAcentral.
GGCCCAUUCCCCACAUGGCAUUCUACUCUUGUUAACUGGAAUUUGAAUCUUCAUCAUUGUUAGCUGAUUUGGUGUGCAAUAAAAGUAUGAUUUCAUCUACAUACGGAUUUGAUUUGUUUAUCAUUGAAGAUAUCAUUAACGGAUAUAAUUAUAGUACACUUAAUUAAGGAAAUCAUCACCUUGGACACCUUCACCUCAUACACUAAACAAAUGCAGAAUUCACCCAAUAUUUUCA